CAACACUCAACAUGAACAACACUUACUUGGAAUAGACAUCAGCCGUUAGAAUACCAGUAGUGUUAAAUAAAAACCUGCUCAGUGCAUAGCUAAAGCCAUGUAGGAUAUCUUGGAAAGGGAAACAAACAUAACAAAAACAUCAAAAGAACAUUUGUGUCAAAUCCCGAGGGGUACAAGAAUUUACCAAAGGGCUACUGAAAAAAAUGCACAUUAUGAGAUUGCACCAAGAUUGCAUGCUGCUGAAGAACUUGUGUAUAUGGGCUUAAAGGGACAUUGUAGGCACUAUAACCAUUUCAUCACACUGUCCCUCCCUUCAGGGUUAAACCAUUUUCAAGCAAUUUAUGAAUGAGGGUCCCUGUCUUCUAAUAGCCCCACCCACACUGGAGGUGUGGCUAAGGCACAGAUUACACACUUCCUUGUAGCCAUAAUGAUUCAUCCUUUGUACAGCGCUACGGAAUCUGAUGGCGCUAUAUAAAUAAUAAAAUAAUAAUACCAGCAAUGCUAUUGUGAUAAGCUUAAAUAAGUCAUCUGAAACUCUC
Non-coding RNA from Pelobates cultripes (western spadefoot toad), 539 nucleotides. NCBI's taxonomy places the organism in Eukaryota, Metazoa, Chordata, Amphibia, Anura, Pelobatidae. The record is from the annotation of a GenBank genome assembly.